Molecule: non-coding RNA, 74 nt
Organism: Paraphysoderma sedebokerense
Lineage: Eukaryota; Fungi; Blastocladiomycota; Physodermatomycetes; Physodermatales; Physodermataceae
Source: the annotation of a GenBank genome assembly
GCCUUCGUAGAUCAAUUGGAUAGAUCGUCAGACUUCUAAUCUGAAGGUUGCGAGUUCGACCCUCGCCGAAGGUG